Long non-coding RNA from Rosa rugosa (rugosa rose), 341 nucleotides. RefSeq lists it as uncharacterized. The transcript has 2 exons. The record is from RefSeq and is a predicted model, not a curated record. NCBI's taxonomy places the organism in Eukaryota, Viridiplantae, Streptophyta, Magnoliopsida, Rosales, Rosaceae.
UAAGAUCAUGUACCAUAUUUUCAGUUUCAAUAUUUUCUUAUAAUUCUCUGUUAUUUGAGUGAUAAUGUAAGGAUGCUGAGUUCAUUUGUUAAUUUUUGGGUAUGUAAAUUACAGGGAAUGAAAGAUCUAAAGCUUGAUAGAAACAUAAAGACACACGGCCCUUCUUCAUUAAUGAGUUAAAGUAGAAGACAUUCAUGGACCCUCAUGAUGAAUAUGAUCUGAUGGAACUUGUAUAGUUGUUAUUAGAUUGGAUUGUAAUUUCUAGUUUAGUAAACUUAUGAAAAUGAAUGUGCUCAUAUUUUAGCUAUUAAUUUAUAAUGGUUCGUAAUCAUUUAUGUAAA